CUUGCAUCAUCACUUCUUCAAGUAGGCCAGCAAGAUGAUACUGAUAGAGCUGAUUUUCACAGGGUGUGGCAGCUGGUGAUUUACAUUGGGAUUCUCUUCUUCAGGUCCAUUUAGAGGCUAUCCCACAAAGUAUACCUAUAAUAGCUCUUUCGUUUGUGUAUCAGAAUGUAGUUCCAGUGCUUUGUACAAACCUUGAAGGGAACUUGUCAAAAGUAAGCAUGUUGGAUCAUAUGGUGGGCUCUUGCAAAAAUUUUCUUUUAGCCUAACAGACACAAAAAUGGUCAUGCACGACCACACAAGCUAUUCUCCAUUCCAAUUCCAUUUUUACCCUAUUAAUGAAAUUGUUAUCCAUGUCUUAUUUGAAUAUUUAAUCCAAUGUAUUUAAAACUCUUAUGAGUUCAUUCCCUUAUGGUUCCCUUAGAUUCUUCCCUUAUUAUUGAAAUCAUUUCAUAUAUUCAAUUUAGCUUCUCCUUAAACUGAACUUUUCUAUUGCAAUUCAAAUUUCAAGUUUAAUUUAUUUCCAUCUCAUCCCUCUAAAUCUCAUACUUGGUAAAUAGUAUUAUGAUCAAUAGCUUGUUUACUUGGGUGGAUUUAUAUGAGGGAAGUGAAAAAUAAAAACUAUUUAUUUGAUAAAAAAUAAGAUAUAUUCAAUAAGUUGUAUUAAUCUAUCUAUUCAAUUCAUAAUUCCACUUUGAAAAAAUAGGCUUAUCAUACAAGGUAAAACAAUAAUAUAAUAAAAUAGAGUAUGCCAUAUUAAGUAACUUGCAUAUUAUUAAUGCCUAAUGUGUUCAUUAUCAACAAUGUUCUACACUUUGGUCACUUGAUUAAUAACAAAAUCAUGAGCCCAAUCACCCCUACUUUGAGACUCCUGCACCUGAAUCCUCUUUGCUCAACUCCUAACCUCAUAGAUCAACACUACUUCAGACUCACAGAACGAUGUUAAGUUGUAAGACUUUUGAGCUUGAAUAUACUUCUCUUGCCUUCUUUUCCUCUUCCUUUCUCAUGCAGUUUAAAAUUUAUGGAUUAAUUUUAGGGUUUAUUUUAAAUUUUAGAGAUUUUUUUUUUAAAAAAAAUUGGUUUAAUAUUUUAAGGCUGUUUUAAAUUUGUGAGUAUUUAUUACAAUUUUAGGGAUGCAUUAGGCCUUUUAAGUGUUUGUUAAAAAAAAGUUAGUCUUCCUCAGAUGACUUGGUCAUAUUAUUAGUGUCCAAAGGGGUUUGGAUCCCUCGUAAUGAAUUAUUUUUGACUUCAAUAAUAUUUUCCUCUUCGGUAAGUUGAGUUAAUAACUUUUUUUGUGGUGCAAUUUUUCAUGUUGCAAUUGAUGCCAGAAUUGAAUUUCUGAUUCGGUCUCAGUGUGAGUUUCCCCAAUCCCUUUCCAGUGCAAGUUUAAGUUUUUUUCUAUUGGGUACCAACCUGUUCCUCCUGUAAACAAUGGCCCCUAUUGAUUUCCUCCAUACACUGAUUGACCCAAUCAGAUCUCUCUUAGAGCCACUUGUGAUCCCAUGUUUUCAGCCUAGCGUGCCUAUCAUCAUUAUUGCCAUAUCCUGCAGAGUCAAGGAACCUCCAACAUUGGAUGGAUUCUCCUCUCUAUGCCUGGGAAACACGCUGUCAUCGCUAUCUCAGGUUUGCAAAAGCCAACGUCCUCCACCUUCACAGCGACAACCAUGUCUGCAACAACAAAAUGCUGCUCGACAAACACUGGAUAUUCAUGAUUUUAUUUUGUGAUCUCAGGAGAUUACAAAGUUCAAAGAUCACCUAUAUUUUGAAUUAGUUAGGAAAUUGAUAAUUGCCAAACACCAAGAGGUGUAUGUUCAAAUUUGUAUCUAGAUCUUUUAAAAAACAAUGUACUCCAAUGUUUGAUGUCUCAGGACUGCAAUUAUUCUCGGAACAGCCAUUCCACUUCUUCUGUUUCUUA
Long non-coding RNA from Zingiber officinale, 1912 nucleotides. RefSeq lists it as uncharacterized. The record is from RefSeq and is a predicted model, not a curated record. The transcript has 3 exons. NCBI's taxonomy places the organism in Eukaryota, Viridiplantae, Streptophyta, Magnoliopsida, Zingiberales, Zingiberaceae.